CAAGUGUUACUACUUCUCCACGGAGAGGAAGAGCUGGAAGGACAGUCGCAGAGACUGCUUAAGACGGGGAGCUGACCUGGUGAUUAUAGAGAGUGACGAGGAGCAGGAGUUGAUCACCAACAGCACUUUCCAAAGAGCCUUUAACUGGAUUCGACUGAGUGACUGGGGAACAGAGAGCACCUGGCUCUGGGUGGGUGAACCUUUACUGAGGAGAAGGUUCUUCCUGGGCUAUCCUUAUGCACUUGAUUGUGCCCAGACACCUGUGCAUAGAUUGGCUGCUCACCUUUGUGCUCAAGACUGGGGAUGGAUCUGUGAGACAAAUGCACUGCUCGCUUAAACAAUUUUUAUCAUUAUAUGUUUUUGGUUAUUUUGUCUUGUGAUAGUCAGAUGACCAUGCCAGGUUUCACUGACAAACCCGGGACCAAUAAGCAGAUUGAAAUGUUACUAAUACUAUUGGGAAUGUGUGGACUACACUGUGCAUGCUGCUAUUUUAACUAGAAAUAUCUUAAUAUUUCAAGCGCAAACUGAAGACGCACCUCUUCAAGCAGCACCUC
Conger conger (European conger) is the source of this 554-nucleotide long non-coding RNA. RefSeq lists it as uncharacterized. The transcript has 3 exons. The record is from RefSeq and is a predicted model, not a curated record. Lineage: Eukaryota; Metazoa; Chordata; Actinopteri; Anguilliformes; Congridae.